Molecule: ribosomal RNA, 398 nt
Filed under: uncultured rhodophyte
Lineage: Eukaryota; Rhodophyta
Description: bacterial SSU rRNA
Rfam family: Bacterial small subunit ribosomal RNA
Source: RNAcentral
GGGGAAUUUUCCGCAAUGGGCAAAAGCCUGACGGAGCAAUACCGCGUGAGGGAUGAAUGCCUGUGGGUUGUAAACCUCUUUUCUUAGGGAAGAAUUUUGACGGUACCUAAGGAAUAAGCAUCGGCUAACUCCGUGCCAGCAGCCGCGGUAAUACGGGGGAUGCAAGCGUUAUCCGGAAUUACUGGGCGUAAAGCGUCUGUAGGUGGCUCAAUAAGUCUGCUCUUAAAUCUUGGGGCUCAACCCUAAACAAGGAGUAGAAACUGUUAAGCUAGAGUAUGGUAUGGGUAGAGGGAAUUCCCAGUGUAGCGGUGAAAUGCGUAGAUAUUGGGAAGAACACCAGUAGCGAAAGCGCUCUACUGGGCCAUCACUGACACUCAGAGACGAAAGCUAGGGGAGCG